This 270-nucleotide ribosomal RNA is filed under the name unidentified soil organism R6-50. Its description in RNAcentral is "partial 16S ribosomal RNA". It matches the Rfam family "Bacterial small subunit ribosomal RNA", at positions 1232 to 1501 of the family's 1533-position model. The record is from RNAcentral.
GGUACAUACAGAGGNCCGCCAACCCGCGAGGGGGANCUAAUCCCAGNAAGUGUAUCGUAGUCCGGAUUGUAGUCUGCAACUCGACUACAUGNAGUUGGAAUCNCUAGUAAUCGCGGAUCAGCAUGUCGCGGUGAAUACGUUCCCGGGUCUUGUACACACCGCCCGUCACACCAUGGGAGCGGGUUUUACCAGAAGUAGGUAGCUUAACCGCAAGGAGGGCGCUUACCACGGUAGGAUUCGUGACUGGGGUGAAGUCGUAACAAGUUAACC